RNAcentral lists this ribosomal RNA (1485 nucleotides) under uncultured organism. Its description in RNAcentral is "SSU rRNA". It matches the Rfam family "Bacterial small subunit ribosomal RNA". The record is from RNAcentral.
GGUGUGCCUAAUACAUGCAAGUCGAACGCGUUGGCCCAAUUGAUUGACGGUGCUUGCACCUGAUUGAUUUUGGUCGCCAACGAGUGGCGGACGGGUGAGUAACACGUAGGUAACCUGCCCAGAAGCGGGGGACAACAUUUGGAAACAGAUGCUAAUACCGCAUAACAGCGUUGUUCGCAUGAACAACGCUUAAAAGAUGGCUUCUCGCUAUCACUUCUGGAUGGACCUGCGGUGCAUUAGCUUGUUGGUGGGGUAACGGCCUACCAAGGCGAUGAUGCAUAGCCGAGUUGAGAGACUGAUCGGCCACAAUGGGACUGAGACACGGCCCAUACUCCUACGGGAGGCAGCAGUAGGGAAUCUUCCACAAUGGGCGCAAGCCUGAUGGAGCAACACCGCGUGAGUGAAGAAGGGUUUCGGCUCGUAAAGCUCUGUUGUUAAAGAAGAACACGUAUGAGAGUAACUGUUCAUACGUUGACGGUAUUUAACCAGAAAGUCACGGCUAACUACGUGCCAGCAGCCGCGGUAAUACGUAGGUGGCAAGCGUUAUCCGGAUUUAUUGGGCGUAAAGAGAGUGCAGGCGGUUUUCUAAGUCUGAUGUGAAAGCCUUCGGCUUAACCGGAGAAGUGCAUCGGAAACUGGAUAACUUGAGUGCAGAAGAGGGUAGUGGAACUCCAUGUGUAGCGGUGGAAUGCGUAGAUAUAUGGAAGAACACCAGUGGCGAAGGCGGCUACCUGGUCUGCAACUGACGCUGAGACUCGAAAGCAUGGGUAGCGAACAGGAUUAGAUACCCUGGUAGUCCAUGCCGUAAACGAUGAGUGCUAGGUGUUGGAGGGUUUCCGCCCUUCAGUGCCGGAGCUAACGCAUUAAGCACUCCGCCUGGGGAGUACGACCGCAAGGUUGAAACUCAAAGGAAUUGACGGGGGCCCGCACAAGCGGUGGAGCAUGUGGUUUAAUUCGAAGCUACGCGAAGAACCUUACCAGGUCUUGACAUCUUGCGCCAACCCUAGAGAUAGGGCGUUUCCUUCGGGAACGCAAUGACAGGUGGUGCAUGGUCGUCGUCAGCUCGUGUCGUGAGAUGUUGGGUUAAGUCCCGCAACGAGCGCAACCCUUGUUACUAGUUGCCAGCAUUAAGUUGGGCACUCUAGUGAGACUGCCGGUGACAAACCGGAGGAAGGUGGGGACGACGUCAGAUCAUCAUGCCCCUUAUGACCUGGGCUACACACGUGCUACAAUGGACGGUACAACGAGUCGCGAACUCGCGAGGGCAAGCAAAUCUCUUAAAACCGUUUUCAGUUCGGACUGCAGGCUGCAACUCGCCUGCACGAAGUCGGAAUCGCUAGUAAUCGCGGAUCAGCAUGCCGCGGUGAAUACGUUCCCGGGCCUUGUACACACCGCCCGUCACACCAUGAGAGUUUGUAACACCCAAAGUCGGUGGGGUAACCUUUUAGGAGCCAGCCGCCUAAGGUGGGACAGAUGAUUAGGGUG